RNAcentral lists this ribosomal RNA (465 nucleotides) under uncultured bacterium. Its description in RNAcentral is "partial 16S ribosomal RNA". It matches the Rfam family "Bacterial small subunit ribosomal RNA", at positions 338 to 795 of the family's 1533-position model. The record is from RNAcentral.
CCUACGGGGGGCUGCAGUGGGGAAUAUUGCGCAAUGGGCGAAAGCCUGACGCAGCGACGCCGCGUGAGGGACGAAGGUCUUCGGAUCGUAAACCUCUGUCAGCAGGGAAGAACGGUCACUGUGCUAAUCAGCAGUGAAUUGACGGUACCUGCAAAGGAAGCACCGGCUAACUCCGUGCCAGCCGCCGCGGUAAUACGGAGGGUGCGAGCGUUAAUCGGAAUUACUGGGCGUAAAGCGCUCGUAGGCGGUAUGUCCAGUCAAGGGUGAAAUCCCCGCGCUCAACGUGGGAACUGCCUUUGAAACUGGCAAACUGGAGUGUGUGAGAGGAUAGUGGAAUUCCAGGUGUAGGAGUGAAAUCCGUAGAUAUCUGGAGGAACAUCAGUGGCGAAGGCGACUAUCUGGCACAUAACUGACGCUGAGGAGCGAAAGCGUGGGUAGCAAACAGGAUUAGAUACCCGGGUAGUC